Molecule: ribosomal RNA, 251 nt
Filed under: uncultured bacterium
Lineage: Bacteria
Description: partial 16S ribosomal RNA
Rfam family: Bacterial small subunit ribosomal RNA
Source: RNAcentral
CGGAAUUACUGGGCGUAAAGCGCAUGCAGGCGGCCUGUAAGUCAGAUGUGAAAGCCCGGGGCUUAACCUCGGAAUUGCAUUUGAAACUGGCAGGCUAGAGUCUUGUAGAGGGGGUAGAAUUUCAGGUGUAGCGGUGAAAAUGCGUAGAGAUCUGAAGGAAUACCAGUGGCGAAGGGCGGCCCCCUGGACAAAGACUGACGCUCCAGAUGCGAAAGCGUCGGGGAGCAAACAGGAUUACGAUACCCUGGUAG